This 494-nucleotide ribosomal RNA is filed under the name uncultured bacterium. RNAcentral describes it as "partial 16S ribosomal RNA". It matches the Rfam family "Bacterial small subunit ribosomal RNA", at positions 28 to 504 of the family's 1533-position model. The record is from RNAcentral.
GAUGAACGCUGGCGGCGUGCCUAAUACAUGCAAGUCGAGCGAACAGACGAGGAGCUUUCUCCUCUGACGUUAGCGGCGGACGGGUGAGUAACACGUGUAUAACCUACCUAUAAGACUGGGAUAACUUCGGGAAACCAGAUCUAAUACCGGAUAAUAUAUUGAACCGCAUUGUUCAAUAGUUAAAGACGCUUUUGCUGUCACUUAUAGAUGGAUCCGCGCCGGAUUAGUUAGUUGGUAAGGUAACGGCUUACCAAGGCUACGAUGCGUAGCCGACCUGAGAGGGUGAUCGGCCACACUGGAAAUGAGACACGGUCAAGCCUCCUACGGGAGGCAGCAGUAGGGAAUCGUCCGCAAUGGGAGAAAGCAUGACGGAGCAACGCCGCGUGAGUGAUGAAGGUCUUCGGAUCGUAAAACUCUGUUAUUAGGGAAGAACAAAUGUGUAAGCCACUAUGAAAGUGUUGAUGCUAGCUAAACAGAAAGCGGCGGACAACGUC